This 300-nucleotide ribosomal RNA is filed under the name Pichia occidentalis. RNAcentral's name for it is "LSU rRNA". It matches the Rfam family "Eukaryotic large subunit ribosomal RNA", at positions 335 to 657 of the family's 3401-position model. The record is from RNAcentral. Lineage: Eukaryota; Fungi; Ascomycota; Pichiomycetes; Pichiales; Pichiaceae.
CGAUAGCGACAGUACUGUGAAGGAAAGAUGAAAAGCACUUUGAAAAGAGAGUGAAACAGCACGUGAAAUUGUUGAAAGGGAAGGGUAUUGGGCUCGACAUGGGAUUUGCGCACCGCUGCUCCUUGUGGGCGGCGCUCUGUGCUUUUCCUGGGCCAGCAUCGGUUUUUGCCGCAGGAGAAGGCGUGCUGGAAUGUGGCUCUUCGGAGUGUUAUAGCCAGUGCGAGAUGCUGCGUGCGGGGACCGAGGACUGCGACAUCUGUCUCGGAUGCUGGCACAACGGCGCAAUACCGCCCGUCUUGA